RNAcentral lists this ribosomal RNA (468 nucleotides) under uncultured bacterium. Its description in RNAcentral is "partial 16S ribosomal RNA". It matches the Rfam family "Bacterial small subunit ribosomal RNA", at positions 28 to 507 of the family's 1533-position model. The record is from RNAcentral.
GACGAACGCUGGCGGCGUGCUUAACACAUGCAAGUCGAACGGAAAGGCCCUGGUUUUGUGGGGUGCUCGAGUGGCGAACGGGUGAGUAACACGUGAGUAACCUGCCCUUGGCUUUGGGAUAACUUCAGGAAACUGGGGCUAAUACCGGAUAGGAGUUCCGGCUGAAUGGUGGGGGUUGGAAAGUUUCGGCGGUUGGGGAUGGAUUGGGGGCUUAUCAGCUUGUUGGGGGGGUAGUGGCUUACCAUGGCUUUGACGGGUAGCCCGCCUGAGAGGGGGACCAGGCCCCAUGGGACUGCGGUACGGACCAGUGUGGUACGGUGGGCAGCGGUGGAGAGUAUGGCCCAACAGUGGGAAGCCUGAUACAACGGCGCCCCGUGUGUAAAGCCCGCCUGCGCGUAGAGAAACGCUUUCCCCUAAGACGAAGGGGGAAUGACGGUAACGGAUAAAGAAGCACCGGCUAACUACGUG